Molecule: unclassified non-coding RNA, 250 nt
Filed under: fungal sp.
Lineage: Eukaryota; Fungi
Description: partial internal transcribed spacer region
Rfam family: Eukaryotic small subunit ribosomal RNA (bases 1-46)
Source: RNAcentral
AAGUCGUAACAAGGUUUCCGUAGGUGAACCUGCGGAAGGAUCAUUAACACGUAUCCAAACGUUAAACCCCCCCCCGUGAACCUUCAUCCUGCUCUUGUAACCCGCGUAGUUCACAAUCUCUGAUAAAUCAUAGCCCGGAAAGUUGUAGUGAUUCAGAGACCUCUGGCUACGUGCGAACAUUGGUGAAGCUCAAUGUAAUACAUUGGGUAAAAAAACCGAACAACUGUUAACAAUGGAUAUCUUGGUUCUC